This 301-nucleotide ribosomal RNA is filed under the name uncultured bacterium. RNAcentral's name for it is "partial 16S ribosomal RNA". It matches the Rfam family "Bacterial small subunit ribosomal RNA", at positions 509 to 808 of the family's 1533-position model. The record is from RNAcentral.
CAGUCGCCACGGUAAUACGUAGGUGGCAAGCGUUGUCCGGAAUUAUUGGGCGUAAAGCGCGCGCAGGCGGAUAGGUCAGUCUGUCUUAAAAGUUCGGGGCUUAACCCCGUGAUGAGAUGGAAACUGCCAAUCUAGAGUAUCGGAGAGGAAAGUGGAAUUCCUAGUGUAGCGGUGAAAUGCGUAGAUAUUAGGAAGAACACCAGUGGCGAAGGCGACUUUCUGGACGAAAACUGACGCUGAGGCGCGAAAGCCAGGGGAGCGAACGGGAUUAGAUACCCGCGUAGUCCCUGUCUCUUAUACC